UACGAAGGGGGCUAGCGUUGCUCGGAAUCACUGGGCGUAAAGGGCGCGUAGGCGGCCAUGUAAGUCGGGGGUGAAAUCCUGGGGCUCAACCCUAGAAUGGCCUUCGAUACUGUGUGGCUUGAGUCUGGUAGAGGUUGGUGGAACUGCGAGUGUAGAGGUGAAAUUCGUAGAUAUUCGCAAGAACACCGGUGGCGAAGGCGGCCAACUGGACCAGAACUGACGCUGAGGCGCGAAAGCGUGGGGAGCAAACAGG
Molecule: ribosomal RNA, 253 nt
Filed under: uncultured bacterium
Lineage: Bacteria
Description: partial 16S ribosomal RNA
Rfam family: Bacterial small subunit ribosomal RNA
Source: RNAcentral